GCUUAGAGUUUGAUCCUGGCUCAGGAUGAACGCUGGCGGCGUGCUUAACACAUGCAAGUCGAACGAGAAGCCCACUUCGGUGGGUGGAGAGUGGCGCACGGGUGCGUAACACGUAGCUCACCUGCCCUCAAGACGGGGAUAACGGUUGGAAACAGCCGCUAAUACCCGAUAAGCUCCCGCGCUGUAGAGGCGUGCGAGAAAAGCGCUAGCGCUUGAGGAUGGGGCUGCGGUCCAUCAGCUAGAUGGUGAGGUAACGGCUCACCAUGGCAACGACGGAUAGGGGACCUGAGAGGGUGACCCCCCACACUGGCACUGAGACACGGGCCAGACUCCUACGGGAGGCAGCAGUGAGGAAUAUUGCACAAUGGGCGCAAGCCUGAUGCAGCGACGCCGCGUGGGCGAUGAAGGUCUUCGGAUCGUAAAGCCCUUUUCUGCGUGACGAGAACGGACGGUAGCGCAGGAAUAAGUCUCGGCUAACUACGUGCCAGCAGCCGCGGUAAAACGUAGGAGGCGAGCGUUAUCCGGAGUUACUGGGCGUAAAGCGCGUGUAGGCGGUACGGAGGGUCUGAUGUGAAAGCUCCCAGGCUAAACCGGGAGAGGUCAUUGGAAACCGCCGUGCUAGAGGGUGAUAGAGGGGCGUGGAAUUCCGGGUGUAGUGGUGAAAUGCGUAGAGAUCCGGAGGAACACCAGUGGCGAAGGCGGCGCCCUGGGUCACACCUGACGCUGAGACGCGACAGCAUGGGGAGCGAACGGGAUUAGAAACCCCGGUAGUCCAUGCCGUAACGAUGCACACUGGGUGUUCGGUCGGGGAAACCCGUCGGAGUGCCGAAGUUAACACGGUAAGUGUGCCGCCUGGGGAGUACGGUCGCAAGGCUAAAACUCAAAGGAAUUGACGGGGGCCCGCACAAGCAGCGGAGCGUGUGG
RNAcentral lists this ribosomal RNA (924 nucleotides) under uncultured bacterium. RNAcentral describes it as "bacterial SSU rRNA". It matches the Rfam family "Bacterial small subunit ribosomal RNA", at positions 1 to 944 of the family's 1533-position model. The record is from RNAcentral.